UGACGGGUAGCUGGCCUUAGCGGGUGGUCAGCCACACCGGGACUGAGACACUGCCCGGACUCCUACGGGAGGCUGCAGUCGAGAAUCUUUCCCAAUGCCCGCAAGGGUGAGGAUGCGACGUCGCGUGGAGGAUGAAGGCCUUCGGGUCGUAAACUCCUUUUGUCAGGGAAGAAAACCCUGAGGUUAAUAGCCUUGGGGCUUGACGGUACCUGACGAAUAAGCCACGGCUAACUCCGUGCCAGCAGCCGCGGUAAUACGGAGGUGGCUAGCGUUACUCGGUAUUACUGGGUGUAAAGGGUCCGCAGGCGGCUAAGUAAGUAAGAGGUGAAAUCCUCCGGCUUAACCGGAGAACUGCCUCUUAUACUGCUUAGAUAGAGGGCAAGAGGGGAGAGCGGAACUGCCGGUGUAAGGGUGAAAUCUGUGGAUAUCGGCAGGAACACCAGUGGCGAAGGCGGCUCUCUGGCUUGCUCCUGACGCUCAGGGACGAAAGCUAGGGGAGCAAACAGGAUUAGAUACCCUGGUAGUCCUAGCUGUAAACGAUGGGCACUGGGUGUUUGCCUUUUAGGUGAGCGCCGAAGCUAACGCGUUAAGUGCCCCACCUGGGGACUACGGUCGCAAGGCUAAAACUCAAAGGAAUUGACGGGGGCCCGCACAAGCGGUGGAACACGCGGUUUAAUUCGAUGCUACGCGAGGAACCUUACCAGGGUUUGACAUGCUAGGAUGUAUUCCGGCGGAAACGUCGGAAGACCGUAUCCAAUCGGAGCCUAGCACAGGUGCUGCAUGGCUGUCGUCAGCUCGUGCCGUGAGGUGUCGCCUUAAGUGGCUCAACGAGCGCAACCCUCGCCUAUAGUUGCUACCCCGAAGUUACUUCAGAAGCACUCUAUAGGGACUGCCCACGUUAAGUGGGAGGAAGGUGGGGAUGACGUCAAGUCAGCAUGGCCCUUAUGCCCUGGGCUACACACGUGUUACAAUGGCGUGUACAGAGGGAGGCGAAGCCGUAAGGUGGAGCAAAUCCCAAAAAGCACGCCCCAGUUCGGAUUGAGGCUUGCAACUCAGCCUCAUGAAGCCGGAAUCGCUAGUAACGGCGUAUCAGCCACGACGCCGUGAAUACGUUCCCGGGCCUUGUACACACCGCCCGUCAAGCGCUGAAAGUGGGGGGCACCCGAAUCCCGAUGUAAUGUCGGGACACGGUGAAACCCAUGAUUGGUGCUAAGUCGUAACAAGGUA
This 1227-nucleotide ribosomal RNA is filed under the name uncultured bacterium. RNAcentral describes it as "bacterial SSU rRNA". It matches the Rfam family "Bacterial small subunit ribosomal RNA", at positions 277 to 1498 of the family's 1533-position model. The record is from RNAcentral.